UUGAACGCUGGCGGCAUGGCUAAAACAUGCAAGUCGAACGAGAACCCCGCAAGGGGGGACAGUGGCGGAAGGGUUAGUAAUACCAUCGAACGUGCCCCGAGGUGAGGGAUAGGCAUGGGAAACUGUGCGUAAUACCUCAUGAUCUCCACGGAGCAAAGAUUUAUCGCCUUGGGAGCGGCGAUGGUCCUAUCAGGUAGUUGGCGGGGUAAUGGCCCACCAAGCCGAAGACGGGUAGCGGGUGUGAGAGCACGGCCCGCAACAUCGGGACUGAGACACUGCCCGGACUCCUACGGGAGGCUGCAGUAACGGAUAUUCCGCAAUGCGCGAAAGCGUGACGGAGCAAUGCCGCGUGCAGGAUGAAGCAGCUUCGCUGUGUAAACUGCUGUCAGGGGCUACUAACUAUGAAGAGCCUCAGAGGAAGGACCGGCUAAACUCGU
This 437-nucleotide ribosomal RNA is filed under the name uncultured bacterium. RNAcentral's name for it is "bacterial SSU rRNA". It matches the Rfam family "Bacterial small subunit ribosomal RNA", at positions 29 to 506 of the family's 1533-position model. The record is from RNAcentral.